Molecule: long non-coding RNA, 371 nt
Organism: Equus quagga
Lineage: Eukaryota; Metazoa; Chordata; Mammalia; Perissodactyla; Equidae
Exons: 3
Source: RefSeq, a predicted model, not a curated record
CAUACCUAGAGUGUGUUCUUUGCUGUAGCUGUCGUCUGGACAGAAGUGCUCACCGCUGCACAGAACUCUGCCAAGGCCACUCUGAGGCAUCCACAUCUGAGUCCUGGGAGCUAAACACACCCACAGCUGUGGUUCUCCCUUGCAAUUUGGAUCUACUGGCUUGCCCUGGAUCCAUCUUACAACCCUGUUCUAUUGAAUCAAGAUCUGGAUGACACAUUGUCUUGGCAGUUGCAAAGCUCCCAGGUCGUCUUCAGGGCCUGAUGACAGAAACGGAUCCUCUUCCAAGACAAAUGCUCAUAUUUACAAAUAUUUUACACACUAUUUUGGAACAUUCUUGACAUGCUUCCUCCGCUGAAGUCCAUAGAUUUCAG